RNAcentral lists this ribosomal RNA (497 nucleotides) under uncultured bacterium. RNAcentral's name for it is "partial 16S ribosomal RNA". It matches the Rfam family "Bacterial small subunit ribosomal RNA", at positions 28 to 507 of the family's 1533-position model. The record is from RNAcentral.
GAUGAACGCUGGCGGCGUGCCUAAUACAUGCAAGUCGAGCGAACAGACGAGGAGCUUGCUCCUCUGACGUUAGCGGCGGACGGGUGAGUAAAACGUGGAUAACCUACCUAUAAGACUGGGAUAACUUCGGGAAACCGGAGCUAAUACCGGAUAAUAUAUUGAACCGCAUGGUUCAAUAGUGAAAGCCGGUUUUGCUGUCACUUAUAGAUGGAUCCGCGCCGCAUUAGCUAGUUGGUAAGGUAACGGCUUACCAAGGCAACGAUGCGUAGCCGACCUGAGAGGGUGUUCGGCCACACUGGAACUGAGACACGGUCCAGACGCCUACGGGAGGCAGCAGUAGGGAAUCUUCCGCAAUGGGCGAAAGCCUGACGGAGCAACGCCGCGUGAGUGAUGAAGGUCUUCGGAUCGUAAAACUCUGUUAUUAGGGAAGAACAAAUGUGUAAGUAACUAUGCACGUCUUGACGGUACCUAAUCAGAAAGCCACGGCUAACUACGUG